This 253-nucleotide ribosomal RNA is filed under the name uncultured bacterium. RNAcentral's name for it is "partial 16S ribosomal RNA". It matches the Rfam family "Bacterial small subunit ribosomal RNA", at positions 524 to 776 of the family's 1533-position model. The record is from RNAcentral.
UACAUGGGGUGCAAACGUUGCUCGGAAUUAUUGGGCGUAAAGCGCGCGUAGGCGGUUACUUAAGUCGGAUGUGAAAGCCCUCGGCUUAACUGAGGAAGUGCACCCGAAACUGAGUAGCUGGAGUACGAAAGAGGGUCGCGGAAUUCCCGGUGUAGAGGUGAAAUUCGUAGAUAUCGGGAGGAACACCGGUGGCGAAGGCGGCGACCUGGGUCGAGACUGACGCUGAGGCGCGAAAGCGUGGGGAGCGAACGGG